This 513-nucleotide ribosomal RNA is filed under the name uncultured Fusarium. RNAcentral describes it as "eukaryotic LSU rRNA". The stretch from base 154 to 307 matches the Rfam family "5.8S ribosomal RNA". The record is from RNAcentral. Lineage: Eukaryota; Fungi; Ascomycota; Sordariomycetes; Hypocreales; Nectriaceae.
CAUUACCGAGUUUACAACUCCCAAACCCCUGUGAACAUACCAAUUGUUGCCUCGGCGGAUCAGCCCGCUCCCGGUAAAACGGGACGGCCCGCCAGAGGACCCCUAAACUCUGUUUCUAUAUGUAACUUCUGAGUAAAACCAUAAAUAAAUCAAAACUUUCAACAACGGAUCUCUUGGUUCUGGCAUCGAUGAAGAACGCAGCAAAAUGCGAUAAGUAAUGUGAAUUGCAGAAUUCAGUGAAUCAUCGAAUCUUUGAACGCACAUUGCGCCCGCCAGUAUUCUGGCGGGCAUGCCUGUUCGAGCGUCAUUUCAACCCUCAAGCCCUCGGGUUUGGUGUUGGGGAUCGGCGAGCCCUUGCGGCAAGCCGGCCCCGAAAUCUAGUGGCGGUCUCGCUGCAGCUUCCAUUGCGUAGUAGUAAAACCCUCGCAACUGGUACGCGGCGCGGCCAAGCCGUUAAACCCCCAACUUCUGAAUGUUGACCUCGGAUCAGGUAGGAAUACCCGCUGAACUUAA